UAUUUUGUCAUGGCAGCCCUAGCAAACUGCUAUAGUGACUUGUGGGGAUUAGGAUGACACCAAGCAUCAAAUGCCACUCCCUGUUCCAACAGUGAGACCAUUCCAUAGCCCCUGAGUGACAAGACAGGCCUUCAAACUCAAGACUACCUGGCUAG
This 155-nucleotide long non-coding RNA is filed under the name Pan troglodytes (chimpanzee). Its description in RNAcentral is "lincRNA". The record is from RNAcentral. Lineage: Eukaryota; Metazoa; Chordata; Mammalia; Primates; Hominidae.